UUCAUUUGUACUUCUCACCAAGUGUCUGACACAUGGGAGAAUUACUGAGAUCCUAUAGCAUUCAGAACACUUGACCUCAGUUUCUACGUUGAAGAAAACACCCUCUUUUUAAGGAUCCAGCUUCUACUACUGCUAACUGCCAGUUCUCCUCCCCAGCUUCCUCUACCUUCAGGUGUCUUCAUCUUGGAGAACUGGGAAUGUUUCCUCCAGUAACCAACAUGAUGCCUUAUACCCCACAAGGCCAGUAAGUGUACACAAUUCAGAAAUGAAGGUGGAAUGAGUCAAGGAAAUGAUUCAACGCAGAAAACGUAAACUAGACAUAGGAGCAGCUGUUGCUUUGUUAGCAUCUCUGUAGUGGUUGUAGCCUUGUGGCUAUUGAAAGAUUAAUAAAGCAUAAUGCAGUUGGUCA
Molecule: non-coding RNA, 409 nt
Organism: Myodes glareolus (Bank vole)
Lineage: Eukaryota; Metazoa; Chordata; Mammalia; Rodentia; Cricetidae
Source: RefSeq, a predicted model, not a curated record